CGAGCGAAUGGAUUAAGAGCUUGCUCUUAUGAAGUUAGCGGCGGACGGGUGAGUAACACGUGGGUAACCUGCCCAUAAGACUGGGAUAACUCCGGGAAACCGGGGCUAAUACCGGAUAACAUUUUGAACCGCAUGGUUCGAAAUUGAAAGGCGGCUUCGGCUGUCACUUAUGGAUGGACCCGCGUCGCAUUAGCUAGUUGGUGAGGUAACGGCUCACCAAGGCAACGAUGCGUAGCCGACCUGAGAGGGUGAUCGGCCACACUGGGACUGAGGACACGGCCCAGACUCCUACGGGAGGCAGCAGUAGGGAAUCUUCCGCAAUGGACGAAAGUCUGACGGAGCAACGCCGCGUGAGUGAUGAAGGCUUUCGGGUUCGUAAAACUCUGUUGUUAGGGAAGAACAAGUGCUAGUUGAAUAAGCUGGCACCUUGACGGUACCUAACCAGAAAGCCACGGCUAACUACGUGCCAGCAG
RNAcentral lists this ribosomal RNA (473 nucleotides) under Bacillus cereus. RNAcentral's name for it is "bacterial SSU rRNA". It matches the Rfam family "Bacterial small subunit ribosomal RNA", at positions 63 to 514 of the family's 1533-position model. Lineage: Bacteria; Bacillati; Bacillota; Bacilli; Caryophanales; Bacillaceae. The record is from RNAcentral.